GUGACCUCGCCCCAGUUUGGGAUUCAGCGACGAGUCGUCUUCUCGUCUGCGCGCCGCAACACAGCACGCGCGCCACAUCCCCUCGCGUCUCCCCCGCACGGCGCCGCUUCCCCUCGUGCCUCCACAGCACGCGUGCCGCCAGCUUCCCCUCGCGACCCCCACCGCACAGACGCCACCCUCCCCCGCCGGACUUCUCCCGCCGCUUGUCUCGUUGGGCUCUCUGGCGUGGACCAUUCUCGCGUCGCAGCCAUACCUCCUCGGCUUCUUGCAUGGCCUGCCUUGGGGCCCGAUGUCAUUUCCUCCCUCGGCUACCACACGACCCGGUGACAUCCUCCACCUGUCUUUGCUCGCACCCGAGGUAUUGCCCUCUUCUCUGUGCCCCUAUUACGGUUGCCUCAAUCCCACCCCCAUGUUGCUAACACACAUAACCCUAAUCCCCAAAUCUGAUGUUGGAGGUGUAUGUGGUCGCAGAUCGGCUAUGGGAGGAGCCAAUGAUGGAGACCUAGGUGGAGGAGGCGGCAAAUCUGCAGCUGGAGGAGCCUGCAGCUGGAGGACCCCGUGAUGGAGGCGUAGGUAGAGGAGGCCACGACAAGGAGUGCCUCUUUCCACCUGGAAGGUAAAUCUUGUUUCUUUCUCCAUGUGUUAUGCUUAAUUCGCUUAUUAAUUUGUAUUCAUUCCCUUAUUUGAUGGAAUGGUUGAACCAAGAAACUGAAAAGCUAAGCUAGUUAUCCUUUUUUUCAUCUUUUGUUGCAUUCAAGUAAUGAAAAUGUUAUAAUCUGUGUGCCUACCAUGUGAUUUAUGGAAAUGCUCUUGGGUGUCCAUAUUGGUCUAGCAUUUUCUUUUGCACAAGUAGUUGAUGCCAGUUUUUGGAAGAGAAAUCAACCACAGAUUUUGUAAAAUUAUUAGAUGCAAGACCUAUGGAUAUCUUAUUUGUGUGGCCGUUGAUGCAAGACCUAGGACAUAUUAUUAUGUAGCUGUGGAUGCAAAAACUAUGAGCAUCUUAAUUGUGGCUAUUGAUGCUAGCUGUGGGCUUCUAAUAUGUAUGUCAUGUGGAUGAUGACAAAUUGAUGCAAUAUAUUUGUGUUCUAGCUGAAUAGUAUAGAAUUGUGAAUAAGAUUCUUUUCUGGUCUGGUGAAUGCAAUUGUAAAAAUAUAUUUUCUGUCAGUUUGUUUGAAUUAUCUUGUCGGUGGAGAGUCGACAUGGAAAAUUUUUAUUUUCUGUCCGGCUAAGUUCGAUGGAAAAAUAAGUGUUUUCCUGUCGGUGUAAGUUUCUUUUUUUUGUCGUUCUCCAACCGAUAGAGAAUGUAUUUCCUUGUCGGUAUUUUUUUCCUAUUGUCAUCUUCCGACAAAAAAAUUGAUUCUAAACCUGUCGACAAUGAAUUUUUCUGUCGGUGGCCCACCGACAAGGCAAAUAACAUACCGACAGGAAAAUGGUUUAUCCAACAGAAAAAAAAACUUAUUCCCUGUCGCGUUAGGCCUGUCGAAAUUUUUCUGUCGGGUUCCCAAUAUUUUUCCUGUCGUUAAAUUGAAUUGUCCUGUUGGUGUGGGAACGGACAGGAAAUUUUCAGUUUUCAGUAGUUAUAUGAAAUCUGCUAUGUCAUCAGCUCACAUAGAUUUAUGGGGACGUAGGAUUACCCAGAUGCAAUUUUACCAAAUCUUCUAUUUCAGAUGCACCUACCCUGUUUUUCAAUACUAUACCAUUUCUGAAAAACAAGUCUACGCAUGCCAUGAAGGCACAAUAAUUUGUGAAGAUACACGCUAGAUUGCACUAAUCAAUGCAAUAAUGUAUUGAUGUCAGUAGAGAAGUUUUACAGUAGAAAUACACGAAUGGUGGUGCCUUCUGGAUGAUGCUGCUCGAAGAAGCUGCUUACUACCGGCCGUACGAUUCCUACUAACUCUUCGCGAUUUGGAUUUCUACAAUAUGGAUAUCGUCCAUCGCACAGAUUGAUGUAAACUUUUUUCAGAUGUGGCAGGUGCUCGAUGCCAUGAAGUCCGACGACGCCACAUGUCUGGACUUGUUGCACAUCCAAUCUAAAGCUGAGGGUCUCAACCUUGGGCAUUGCUUCGGCCUGGAAAUGGAAAAGUUAACAAGAGCCCUGAACACCGUGCUGCCGCUAAAGAUAAUACCUUGGACAGGGACACGAUCUGCCCACACCCGAAGACGGGCGAGAACAGGUAACCCUGCAAGAACAGCAAUAGCAUCGUUGCACAGCCAGCCAAGGUUAAUAUCCAUGGUGACGAGUGUGCUGAGAUGACGAACCCACGGAGGUAACCGUGGGAGCCGUAUCUGCAGGUUUAGUUGCUCGAGAACACAGCCAGCAGAGAAGCUUAAAGGCCUACAGGCAGCAUAGUAAACUGUCAGGUUGUGCAAUGUUAAACCAUUUAAACGCUUCAGAUUGCAACUAACUAGCUUCUCGAUGGAGUAAAACAGAGCUUUCAAAUGUGCUUCCUUAUUGGCAAAACUGUAAUCAGUAAUAUAUAAGUCCAGCUCAAUCAGAUUUAGUAAUUCCCCAAGAGCCCUUACAUUAUCCAAUGACUGCUUGCUUGGAUCGAAGGAAUGUAUAGUACGCAGUGAUUUCAUAUUGCUGAUUCCAUCAGGAUAAAUUGUGCCCACAGGAAGCUUCAGAUACGACAAAGAAGGCAAACGAAUAAUAUCCCAUGGAAGAUGGGACAAUUUCCCAUGUAUCAUCAAUGAUUCAAGACGAUGCAACCCGCACAUUUGACUAGGUAGUUGAAUAAUGCUUGAUCCAGGUUUACUUUCAACAUAUAAAUACCUCAGCUGAAACAUUUUCCCAAUUGGAGUGAGAUCCAAAAUGUCAGCAUUGCAUACAAAUAGAACUCGGAUAAACUUCAGCUCCAACAGUUGAAGACUUUGGAGAGACAACCCAAAAGUAAAUAGCGAUCGUACAUGUGGUAGAUUCGCUCCAGGUGCUCUUUUAUCAAGUACUGACUCAUCAAUAAGCUGCAGGGAGAGACGGCGAGUAUUGUACGGCUGCCUAGUGGUAAUUGUUUGUAGGUUUUGUACUACAGCCAAAAAAUUCUCUUCUGCAGCCUUGGACACAAUUAGGUCUAGAAUCAUAUCAUGCACUUUAUAACAUAUAGUGCUCUUCAUCCAACCAUUAAGUUUUUCAAA
This 3132-nucleotide long non-coding RNA is filed under the name Sorghum bicolor (sorghum). RNAcentral describes it as "long non-coding RNA (SBIC_LNC013627)". The record is from RNAcentral. Lineage: Eukaryota; Viridiplantae; Streptophyta; Magnoliopsida; Poales; Poaceae.